AGAUAUUCCACCCCAUCCUGAUAUUCCAGGAGCUGAAGAGUCGAAUCCAUAAUCCACUGACAAAUACGGAACGGGUGGUUAUACCAAAGGAAGAGUACAACCAGAAGGCCCCUGUCUCUGUGCCUGAUGUGUCUACUGUUUCUGAGGUGCUGCCUCACCCGUAUUCCCUCAGCCUGAGCUGCACACUUUAAAGCAGCAGCCAGCACCACCACAACAGAUCCACAUCCAGCAGCACCUCCAGUUCCACUUCCUCCCAGACAGAAAUGAAAGGCAAAUACAAAUUGAAUGGAUUCUUUGGAAAUGCAUACCAAAGUAUGGAUAACGUGUAUAGACAUUUAACAUUUAAUAAAACUUAAAUCAUAUGAAUAAUAGCAAUGUGUCACUUUUUCCAACUCAUGCCUCUGUUCCUCUUCUUAUGAUAAUUUGGAAGUAGCCAUUCAUACUGCAAAAAUAUGGAUCUUCAUUUGAUUUCUCCAUUCUACACUUAAUGUUUCUGUGAAUGUUGUACAUUUUCUAUCAUUUUAUUUGAGUCUUUUGUUCUCCUUAAC
This is a long non-coding RNA of Cyprinus carpio carpio, 548 nucleotides long. The record is from Ensembl. Lineage: Eukaryota; Metazoa; Chordata; Actinopteri; Cypriniformes; Cyprinidae.